RNAcentral lists this transfer RNA (85 nucleotides) under Chitiniphilus shinanonensis. RNAcentral's name for it is "tRNA-Leu". It matches the Rfam family "tRNA". From Rfam's summary of the family: Transfer RNA (tRNA) molecules are approximately 80 nucleotides in length. Their secondary structure includes four short double-helical elements and three loops (D, anti-codon, and T loops). Further hydrogen bonds mediate the characteristic L-shaped molecular structure. tRNAs have two regions of fundamental functional importance: the anti-codon, which is responsible for specific mRNA codon recognition, and the 3' end, to which the tRNAs corresponding amino acid is attached (by aminoacyl-tRNA synthetases). tRNAs cope with the degeneracy of the genetic code in two manners: having more than one tRNA (with a specific anti-codon) for a particular amino acid; and 'wobble' base-pairing, i.e. permitting non-standard base-pairing at the 3rd anti-codon position. Lineage: Bacteria; Pseudomonadati; Pseudomonadota; Betaproteobacteria; Neisseriales; Chitinibacteraceae. The record is from RNAcentral. RNAcentral also lists the same sequence under 1 other name.
GCCCCGAUGGUGAAAUUGGUAGACACAAGGGACUUAAAAUCCCUCGCCGCAAGGUGUGCCGGUUCGACCCCGGCUCGGGGCACCA